GGUCAGGAUGAACGCUGGCGGCGUGCCUAACACAUGCAAGUCGAACGGGGUGUCUGAUCUUCGGACUGGACACUUAGUGGCGGACGGGUGAGUAACGCGUGGGUAACCUGCCUCAUACAGGGGGAUAGCAGUUGGAAACGACUGAUAAUACCGCAUAAGCGCACAGUACCGCAUGGUACAGUGUGAAAAACUCCGGGUGGUAUGAGAUGGACCCGCGUCUGAUUAGCUUGUUGGCGGGGUAACGGCCCACCAAGGCGACGAUCAGUAGCCGGCCUGAGAGGGUGAACGGCCACAUUGGGACUGAGACACGGCCCAAACUCCUACGGGAGGCAGCAGUGGGGAAUAUUGCACAAUGGGGGAAACCCUGAUGCAGCGACGCCGCGUGAAGGAUGAAGUAUUUCGGUAUGUAAACUCCUAUCAGCAGGGAAGAUGAUGACGGUACCUGACUAAGAAGCCCCGGCUAACUACGUGCCAGCCGCGGC
RNAcentral lists this ribosomal RNA (482 nucleotides) under uncultured bacterium. RNAcentral's name for it is "bacterial SSU rRNA". It matches the Rfam family "Bacterial small subunit ribosomal RNA", at positions 22 to 518 of the family's 1533-position model. The record is from RNAcentral.